UUCCCAAAUUGAGAAAUAGAAACCCUAACCCUCAAACCCUUAACCCAGCCAUCGAAACCCCUUCCCCAAACCCAACAGCUUACAUGAAAUAGAAAACAAAGAGAAAGAGACUGAGAGAGGGACGCGCAUCGCCGGUAGGGAUUGGGCCGCCGUCGCGUGGUCGUUGAACUAGAGGGAAGAGCUGCCGCCGCCACGCCUCAUCGUCGAAGCUCCACGUUGUUGUCACCGCCGUUCGCGAAGAGAGAGGAAGCCCGCGAAGUCGCUGCUGAGCCACCGCCGCUGUGUCCUACCUGCGCCGCUGUUCAAGCCUAUCCCCGUCCAUGGAGUCGCGAGGAGCGCCGCAGUCAUCGUCGUGGUGUGUGGGCUUCGUGCAAAGAGAAAAGACAGACUACGAUGGGAGAGGAGGUGGACCGUUUCUGCUGUUGUCGUGCCGUGAACGCUGCCGUGGUGGAUGGCAUCACCGCUGCCUAGGUUUCUGUGGUCCAAGUCGCCAUUGAUGGAGAAGACGCCACUGAGGAGCAGAGCCUCUAUUUCGCGCCAGUCACGACGAAGCUGCCACGGGUGUUGCUGUCUCGCUGCCAUCAAAGGUCCAUCGCCGCCAAUCCACGCCGCUGCUGAAGAUGAGUUGUGUUUGCUCUUGCUUCCUAUUCGAUUUAAAUCCUUUGUCCUAUUGCAACCAUCGUCGAUGCCUUAAGAAAUUGAGACUGUUGUUAUUCCCGUUAAUGCUCCUGCUGCUGUUCGAUUGAUGUCGCUACUGCUGUCUUGAGUUCAUUGUUAAUGCGUCAUUGAGCAAAUGGAGCUGGCUUUCUUUCACAAUUGCUUCAGUGCCAUAUGUUCCUAAUUUGCAAUAAACAAGCUUCCCCUUCACAGGUGCUGAGCUUUCAUAUGGUAAAGUGGUUGAAACAAAAGUUUUCGAGCGUUGAGAAGGAAGAAUAGCAAUACCAGAAACAAUCUAUCCUGGUAGAGUCUGAAUUGUAUUGCUCUCACGUCUGUGGAACAAUUCUGUUAAUAGUUUCUACUUAGUGUUAGUGUGUAUAUCACUAUAUAAAACUGAAAUUGAGACAAGUGUAUU
Long non-coding RNA from Arachis stenosperma, 1072 nucleotides. RefSeq lists it as uncharacterized. The transcript is spliced from 4 exons. NCBI's taxonomy places the organism in Eukaryota, Viridiplantae, Streptophyta, Magnoliopsida, Fabales, Fabaceae. The record is from RefSeq and is a predicted model, not a curated record.